UGGCUCAGAGCGAACGCUGGGCGGCAGGCUUAACACAUGCAAGUCGAGCGGGCGUAGCAAUACGUCAGCGGCAGACGGGUGAGUAACGCGUGGGAACGUACCUUUGGUUCGGAACAACACAGGGAAACUUGUGCUAAUACCGGAUAAGCCCUUACGGGAAAGAUUUAUCGCCGAAAGAUCGGCCCGCGUCUGAUUAGCUAGUUGGUAGGGUAAUGGCCUACCAAGGCGACGAUCAGUAGCUGGUCUGAGAGGAUGAUCAGCCACAUUGGGACUGAGACACGGCCCAAACUCCUACGGGAGGCAGCAGGUGGGGAAUAUUGGACAAUGGGGGCAACCCUGAUCCAGCCAUGCCGCGAGAGUGAUGAAGGCCCUAGGGUUGUAAAGCUCUUUGUGCGGGAAGAUAAUGACGGUACCGCAAGAAUAAGCCCGGCUAACUUCGUG
This 441-nucleotide ribosomal RNA is filed under the name uncultured bacterium. Its description in RNAcentral is "bacterial SSU rRNA". It matches the Rfam family "Bacterial small subunit ribosomal RNA", at positions 20 to 507 of the family's 1533-position model. The record is from RNAcentral.